This 403-nucleotide ribosomal RNA is filed under the name uncultured bacterium. RNAcentral describes it as "partial 16S ribosomal RNA". It matches the Rfam family "Bacterial small subunit ribosomal RNA", at positions 30 to 526 of the family's 1533-position model. The record is from RNAcentral.
AUUGAACGCUGGCGGCAGGCCUAACACAUGCAAGUCGAGCGAGGGGCGGACGGGAGAGUAAUGUAUGGGGACUGCCCGAUAGAGGGGGAUAACUACUGGAAACGGUGGCUAAUACCGCAUAGCAUCGGAUAACCCAUAUGGGAUUAGCUAGUAGGUGGGGUAAAGGCUCACCUAGGCGACGAUCUCUAGCUGGUCUGAGAGGAUGAUCGGCCACACUGGAACUGAGACACGGCCCAGACUCCUACGGAGGCAGCAGUGGGGAAUAUUGCACAAUGGGCGCAAGCCUGACGCAGCAAUGCCGCGUGUAUGAAGAAGGCCUUAGGGUUGUAAAGUACUGUCAUCGGGGAGGCGUUACCCGCUGAAGAAGCACCGGCUAACUCCGUGCCAGCAGCCGCGGUAAUAC